Long non-coding RNA from Felis catus (domestic cat), 436 nucleotides. RefSeq lists it as uncharacterized. The record is from RefSeq and is a predicted model, not a curated record. Lineage: Eukaryota; Metazoa; Chordata; Mammalia; Carnivora; Felidae. The transcript is spliced from 3 exons.
GGACAGAGCAGUGCUCCUGUGGCUUCUGUGUAGACUCCAGCGACUCCUAGUCUGGCUCUUAUUACGUGCAUGAUCUUAUCUACUGAAUAGGAAAAUCUGAGGCUAUGACAACAAAAGAAAUGAUCAUGAUGCCUAAUACAUAGCUUCCAGCCGGCUCCCGCGCAAGAAGCCAAUAAAUUUGCCCCGCGACUUCCAGGUCUCUGUUUCGGAUUACCGAGCACGACCGCACGGCUGGGACACCAAUCCAAGCAUUCAUCUGACAGAUAAUGGGAGAACAGGCCUCAGCUUUGUGCCCAGUUGGAAUGCAAAAAAUCUAAAUCAUGCUUGUGUCCUUGUUGGGAGCUGGCAUCGUGGAAGAAGCCAGGCUCUGUCUGCUUUGGAGCAGACGGGCUGGAAUCACAACUCUCAGCUUUACCAGCUGGACAACCUCAGGCAA